GACAGAGGGUGCAAACGUUGUUCGGAUUUACUGGGCGUAAAGCGCGUGUAGGCGGCUUUGCAAGUCGGAUGUGAAAGCCCACGGCUCAACCGUGGAAGUGCAUCCGAAACUGCAUGGCUCGAGUCUCGGAGAGGAAGGUGGAAUGCUUGGUGUAGAGGUGAUAUUCGUAGAUAUCAAGCAGAACACCUGCGGCGAAGGCGGCCUUCUGGACGAUGACUGACGCUGAGACGCGAAAGCGUGGGGAGCAAACAGG
This 253-nucleotide ribosomal RNA is filed under the name uncultured bacterium. RNAcentral describes it as "partial 16S ribosomal RNA". It matches the Rfam family "Bacterial small subunit ribosomal RNA", at positions 524 to 776 of the family's 1533-position model. The record is from RNAcentral.